AAAAAGAGAAACCGUGCAUAAAUUCUACUUGUGAAAUCUACUAGGAUUUGGAUGGAAUUCGUCAGCAAACAACUGGGAUAUUCUUUAGCAACAGCCAGUUCAUACACAACUGGAGAGGAAGACGCAGGGAUUUAUUCAACCAUCGACUCCAUGAAACCCCCCUCACAACCACCAGGAAACAGUCAAGAAUCAAUGCCAAUUAAGGUUGAACUGAAUCAAUUGUAUGCCUCCAUCCUCAAAAACGGCCGUUUCAAGUGACAACAGCAGAGUUUACAGUCACCUGACGGUCCGCUGAAAGAAUAAGAUUCUGCCUGCUACUGUUUUAAUGCAGGCUAGAGAUGAUCAAUCUUCAUUUUAAACAGGAUUUAUUUCUCUAUAGCAAAUGCCUUUUAUUGUAAAUGUUAUUGUAACUUCUGCUUCUUAAUUUUAUUAUCUUAACCUUUCAAAACUGUGACAAUCAUCUGUCUGAUUUCAGUUUACUUGUAUUUUUGGCAGUUUCAAGCGUAUAGUAUAACCACAUCAAAAGGCACACAGCAUUAAUAUGCAUAUCAUUAAGUAAUAAUAAUUACAUAACAAUUUUGUACAGUGUUAUUGUGAAUAGCAGUUUUAUUGAUGAACAUAGGGACACUUAUAUUUUGUCCUGUUGCUUUGUGUGAAUAUUUUACCUGAUGUUCAUUAUUUAAAGCACCUCUUUUUUCUCUCUCUUCUUGUACCUUUUGCAAUUUUUCUCUCUUCAUAUUUCUCUUCAUAUUUUAAUAUUCUUUUUGCUGUUAAUAUUUGAAAAUUUUACUUGUUUUGUAUUCGUGAUCAAAUAAAUGCAACCUCUGUGAGCAAGAGAGACUUCUUCCAAAAAACAUUAAAACAUCUUUCCAAGCCCAAUCUUCUGAAUGGUGGUGUUCUGUAAGAAAUUAUUUAAUUUAAUUUUAUAUUUAAUUUUAAUAACUUUUAUUACCUUAUUUUAUAUCACAAUUUUAAAGUAAAAAAAUAGACUAA
This is a long non-coding RNA of Carassius carassius (crucian carp), 993 nucleotides long. RefSeq lists it as uncharacterized. NCBI's taxonomy places the organism in Eukaryota, Metazoa, Chordata, Actinopteri, Cypriniformes, Cyprinidae. The record is from RefSeq and is a predicted model, not a curated record. The transcript has 5 exons.